This 303-nucleotide ribosomal RNA is filed under the name uncultured bacterium. RNAcentral's name for it is "bacterial SSU rRNA". It matches the Rfam family "Bacterial small subunit ribosomal RNA", at positions 355 to 674 of the family's 1533-position model. The record is from RNAcentral.
UGGGGAAUAUUGGGCAAUGGAGGAAACUCUGACCCAGCAACGCCGCGUGAAGGAUGAAGGUUUUCGGAUUGUAAACUUCUGUCGCGAGGGACGAAGAAUGACGGUACCUCGUAAGAAAGCCCCGGCUAACUACGUGCCAGCAGCCGCGGUAAUACGUAGGGGGCGAGCGUUGUCCGGAAUGACUGGGCGUAAAGGGAGUGUAGGCGGCCUAUCAAGUUAGAUGUGAAAUCCCGCGGCUUAACCGCGGAACUGCAUCUAAAACUGGUGGGCUGGAGUGCAGGAGAGGUGAGUGGAAUUCCUAGU